AGGGAGAGUAUCUUCAAUCUACAUCUAUCUUCAUAAAUCAGCAUGAAUAGCAACCCCCAAAAGACCAAAGAUUAUUUACCACAACUUAAAAAAAAUAAUACCGUUCGAUUCAAUUCAAGAGGCCCUAUCCCCGAACCAGGAAUCCAACUGAAAUCGAUCUGUUUAAGCUCAUCAUCACCGCAACAUUUGUACAUAUACACAUACUAUAGGCGGAUGCAAAUACAAACAAAAAAGAGCAGAGAGGCAGAGCAUACCAGGAGUCAGGAGAGGCGAUGAUCAGCAGCCGCGAGUAGCGUGAGCAAAUAUCACAAGGCGAGGUUUUGUUAGGUUUUAAGA
RNAcentral lists this unclassified non-coding RNA (336 nucleotides) under Hevea brasiliensis (rubber tree). Lineage: Eukaryota; Viridiplantae; Streptophyta; Magnoliopsida; Malpighiales; Euphorbiaceae. The record is from RNAcentral.